GUGAGAUUGUUAGUUCAAGGAGGUUUUUAUGGAAUUUCUCACAUGUCCUGUCACAAAAACCCUGGUAUUUUAUGUUUACAAGCUCCAAUGAACCUAUUGGCUACGCCUACGAUCCAAUCCUCAGAAAGUGGUAUGGCAUUGAUCUCCCAUGCAUCGAGACAUCCAGUUGGUUCAUUGCUUCAUCUCGUGGUUUAGUUUGCUUCAUGGACAAUGAUAGCAGAAGUGAAUUAUAUGUCUGCAACCCUAUUACCAAAUGCUGCAAGAAGCUUGAGGAGCCUCCAGGUUUAAAAAUUGCUGAUUACAGUGCACUUGCAAUAUCAGUGAACAGUAUAUCCAUGUGACAUAC
Molecule: unclassified non-coding RNA, 346 nt
Filed under: Hevea brasiliensis (rubber tree)
Lineage: Eukaryota; Viridiplantae; Streptophyta; Magnoliopsida; Malpighiales; Euphorbiaceae
Source: RNAcentral